GAUACCUGAUCGUUAUCUUCACUUCAUUCAUCCUCCCAUUAUAUUACCAAACAAAGGUAUUAUAAAGGGAGAGAUGGGCAUCAGUAACCUGGAUGGAGACGAAUUGGUUGAGCUCUAGCCUUGAAUCGGUUCCUCAUGAAGGGGAAGAGGUUACUGAUUAAGAGGUUAGGGGAAGAGGUAUUUCAUUAGCACAAAAAUAGAAUUUUCUAUAACAAUUUUAAGACGCCAGAGUAGGUCUCCUGCUAAUAUACCCAUUUUUUUGUCCCCUGUUCCCAAAUAUGCCCCCCUUAAAACCCUACUGCGUGCAUCAUCUAUAAUACCAUAUGAAGCACAUAUUAUAGAUGAGAGAGAGAAAACACACCGGAGGGACCCCGGUAAUCCAGAUAGGGCUUUUUUGGAUGGGAAUAUGAAGAAUUUGAUCAAUUGAUGUUAAAGGCUCUGUGGUUAUCUCUUCCUCUGAUGGUGUUAGGGUUGUGUGGCGGCAACCGCCGCCCUAGCGACCACAACCGGUCGUGGCUACGGAGGAUCUAGAUGCGAAGGUAAGGGGUUAUGAUUUCCGAAACUGGUGUGGAAAAUAUGGUUGGAAGCCGUUCCUGGGGACUUUUAAAACCCUGUGCUAAGAAACUUAGUGAAUUUGUUGCGGGUGAAAUAUAAUGUCUCGUGCUCGUUUUCCUUUCGCAACAUUUUAUCAGGAUCAAUGAAUUGGAGAACUAAUAACAUCAUCUUUUUACAUUCCCAAUCGCGUAUGCAUACCACAGAUUCACAGGUCAAAUGAAUGGAAUAUGGGUGUUCUGUUUGAAGGGAUCUCAACAGGCUAUCCUUGGAAGGGGUAUUGAUACGCUACAACGGUAUUACUGCUAACAACGUUGUUUCCUGCCCAACAUUCCCUGAGAUUGCAGAUAAGGUUUACGACAUCUUGCAUGGAAGAGUGUGGGCGGGUCACAAUAUAGUGGAAUUUGAUUGUGUGAGGUUAAAAGAUACGUAUGCUCAGAUAAACGGAAAGCCUCCUGUACUCAAGGGAACCAUGGUUACAUUGAAAUUGUUGAUUGAGACGUUUGGGAGGAGAACCGAUAACAUGAAGGCCCAUCUGUAGACAGAAUGGAGACUGUAACUCUUCAGUCAAAUGAAGCUAUGGUGGAAGAAUCAUCUACCACCUAUCUAAUGCUUUCAGCAACGACAAUGAAUUCAUAGACCCUGAUUCAGUUCCAAUAGCUUCAAUAACUGUAACCGUUGCUCCCUUUGUUAACGGGCCCAGAGGAUACAAAUAUUUCACAAAGACAUCCCUAGGCAGAGUCAUUGCGCAGGCAUGAGAAUACUUUUGGAUUGAGCACACAUUUUGUUGAUCAUGCUGGAAAUCCGAUCCUAAGUUUUGUAGUCAGUGCAAGUUCUUUGAAUCUCUGUAAGAUACUUGAUGCACUUUAACCUUUCAAACAAUUGUUAUUUUAGUAAAGCCAAACAAUUGUUAUUU
RNAcentral lists this long non-coding RNA (1468 nucleotides) under Helianthus annuus (common sunflower). RNAcentral's name for it is "hypothetical non coding rna". Lineage: Eukaryota; Viridiplantae; Streptophyta; Magnoliopsida; Asterales; Asteraceae. The record is from RNAcentral.